RNAcentral lists this ribosomal RNA (253 nucleotides) under uncultured bacterium. RNAcentral describes it as "partial 16S ribosomal RNA". It matches the Rfam family "Bacterial small subunit ribosomal RNA", at positions 524 to 776 of the family's 1533-position model. The record is from RNAcentral.
UACGUAGGGGGCAAGCGUUGUCCGGAUUUAUUGGGCGUAAAGAGCGUGUAGGCGGCCAUGUAGGUCCGUUGUGAAAACUCGAGGCUCAACCUCGAGACGCCGAUGGAAACCAUGUGGCUAGAGUCCGGAAGAGGAGAGUGGAAUUCCUGGUGUAGCGGUGAAAUGCGCAGAUAUCAGGAAGAACACCCGUGGCUAAGGCGGCUCUCUAGUACGGUACUGACGCUGAGACGCGAAAGCGUGGGGAGCGGACAGG